Mobula hypostoma (lesser devil ray) is the source of this 3441-nucleotide long non-coding RNA. RefSeq lists it as uncharacterized. The transcript is spliced from 3 exons. NCBI's taxonomy places the organism in Eukaryota, Metazoa, Chordata, Chondrichthyes, Myliobatiformes, Myliobatidae. The record is from RefSeq and is a predicted model, not a curated record.
GAGAUUUUUAGCUGAAGCUUUUUACUCAGGUUCAGUUGUCUGAUUUUGUUUGCAUUAGUUUAGCUGCAUUGGGAGGUAUCAAUCGAUCACGACUCCGCGGCUGAUUGAUAGUGUGAUGCAUGGGUCUCAAGAUCAUUUAUCAUUCCAGAGCGGAUCGCAAAUGAAGAGGCUGAAUGCAAAUGCUGGUGUGGAAACUCCGAAGCACGAGGCUACAGCGAGUGGAGGGACUCAAGCCAGUUGAAGGGUACAGCUCUCCCCACCAUCAAGAAAACCUACAAAUGGUGGCGUCUCACGAAAGCAGCAUCCAUUAUCUGAGAAUCCCACCAUCCAAGCCAUGACCUCUUCUUGAUGUUUCCAGCAGGUGAGAGCUACAGGACUCUAAAGACCACAUCUCAGUGUUCAACAACAGCAUCUUCUCCACUGCCAUCAGGUUCUUGAACCAACCUGAGCAACCUUAUCACGAUUUUGGACUACAGUCUAUUUCCUUUUCUCUCUCUCCCCCUCCACCUAUAUUGCUCUGUUCUCUUUUGUUCUUCUGCACAUUUAUCUAUAAUUUAGGUUAAUUAAAUUUAUGCUAACUUAUCUUGUAACGUACUGUGCUGUUUUUGCGCAGAGCUAGUUUUCUUGGUGUUCAUACCCUGUUGUACAUGUGCCUAUGACAACAAUAAGCUUGUACUUGACCUGUACAGAGGUGGACAGAAUAACAAAUAAGAAACUUCUGCCCAACCACCAUGUGUGGUUAUGUCAAGAAGCCCAUGUAUAGCAGGUAUCCAAAUGAUUGGAUCCAUCUGUGUGAAGCAAAGCACAGCUGAUUUGUGAAUUGUGCAUUAAAACACACAACUUCUGCUGUGUUUGGUUUAGUACCGGGUUUUAUCCAAGAGGUUGCUGCCAGAGUAAAUUUGAGUGUAUGGUCCCAAGAAAAAUCACUUUUUGUUUCUUUGAUCACCUAUAAUCAAUUCAUAAAAAUACCUGUCAUACAUAUUUAAAUAAAACUGACAGAGAUACAGUUUUCAAAGAUUUUUACAUUUUAUUUAUUAUUCUGUCACUUGUACAAUGACAAAGACAGAAGGCAGCUCUGCUUUUGUGCUGAGUGACCACUUCUCUUCAAAGUCAUUCAGCUCAUUGUGGUAAAGAGUGAAAUCUGUUGUACAAUGAUUGGAAACAAUCCACCAGUUCUACAGGUUUUCUGACUGUCCUCGUUUUAAAUCCAGGUAGUCCUCAAAGCUGUUUGUCCGUUCCCAGCUGUCCAACCAUCCUCCAAUAGCAUUCCCUGAUGCCUACUCAUCCUCCAAUGGCAUUCUAAGCUGUAUAACCCUCCUCCAAUGAUGUUCCUAACUGCCCAAACAUCCUCCAAUGGUAUUGCUAGCUGCCUAACCACCCCACAGUAGUAUUUCCAGCUUUCCAACACAAUCAAGUGGUGUUUCUAGCCAUCGAAUUGCCAUUCAAUGACGUUUCGAGCAGUUCAAAAAUCUUCCAAUGGUGUUCCUUGCAGUCCAACUAUUCUUCAGUGAUGUUACUGGCCACCUCACAUAGUGUUUCCGGCUCGCCAACCAAAAUAUAAUGAUGUUUUAGCCAUCCAGUCACCAUUCCCAGAUGUUCCACCAUCUUUCAAUGGCAUUCCUAGUGGUUCAAACAGCCCCCAAUGACAUUCCUAGCUGCCCAACCAUCCUUAAAUGACAGUCCCAGCCAUCCAAGCACCUUUCAAUGGUGUUCCCAGCUGCUUAUCCAUCCUCCAAUGCUGUGCCCAGUUUCCCAACCAUCACUCAAUGCUGUUCCUUGCAGUCCAACUAUCUACAGUAGUGUUUCCAACUCCCCAACACACUUCUAAUGGUGUUUCUAGCCAUUGGACCAUCCUCCAAAAGUGUUCCUAGUGUGCAAACAUCUCACAGUACUGUUUCCAGCUGUCCAACCAUCCCCCAAUGAUAUUCCUAGCUGCCCAACCAACUUUCAAUGCUUUUUCAAAUGUCUAACCAUCUCCAGUGCUGUCCCCGGUUGUUCAGCUACCCCCCAGUGGUGUUCCUAACUCUAGCACAGUGCUCCAUUGUGCUCUAAGAUGUCAAUAGUUCUCACCCAGUAAUGGAGCACGUGAACCAUUCUUGUAGUACUUGCAGAGUUCCAAUCUAUAUCUCCAAUAACAGCAGUCUAUGAUAUUCCAAAUAGCCUGACGUGUCUCCAGACAUUCAUUGUGUGGUCCAGCAGUCCUUUGAUGGCAUUUCAACCAUUCACUAGACUUCUAAUUGUACUCCAAAAAUAACAAUGAAUCCAUAAAUUAAAUAGUAUUUAAAAGUUCAGCAGUGACAUAAUUGGCCCAGUAAUACCCCAAUUAACAUCAUAAGUAAACAGAUCAAGAAAUCAAAAAAUACAUCUUGCCAUAUAAUCUUGUAGCUGGCUUUUGAUGAUUUCAAGGAGUACAAUUGUACCAGCGAUAACUGAAUGAUGUUAACAGACCAACAAAUGAGGGACUUUAAAAGCAGUUCUUACAGUUCAAGAAUGUCUUUCAUUGUGUUAAUUAUCCAAUAACUCCAAACAAUAUCUAUUAACCUACCAGUGAUUUGCAAGCAACUAACCGAUGCUUUAAACAGUCUAACAGUCUUCCGGUGAUUGUCCACUCCAACACUGUGCUCUAACCCAAGCAUCCUGAGGCUUAUAUCAACUAGUGAUGAAGUAAAGGUUCAUUCAUCCUGCUCUCCCUGAGGUCAAAGAAGGGUGUGGUAAAAUUAACAGUAGUAAGAUUACUUAAUGGGAUGCUAAGAGGAUAAAAUUAUUUUUUGUUUCUGAUUAUACUGUGGGAUUUAUCAAUAUUCAUCCAUUAUGGAUGAUGUGACAAUCUGUACUCCAACAGAAAGAAUGGACAUACUUUGACACUCUUCAUAAACUAGUAACGGCAGGAGAUAAAAUAAAACCAAUUGAUUUUGGAGAUUUCCUAAAGGUUGAUGCACAUACCAAUCAGCUGUGUGAAGAGGAUUUAUGAAAAUGUUGUUGGGACCUGAGGUAUAGGGAAAGGCUGGGCAGGAUAGGACUUUAUUCUUUGAGUAGUAGGAAAUGAAGGGGUGAGCUUAUAGAGAGGUGUAUAGAAGUCUUGAGGGGCAUAGGUUGGGUUAAUGCACACAGCCCUUUUCCCAGGGAAAGGGAAGCAAAAACUAGAAUGUGGAUAUGGAAUGGGUUGAUAGAGGAAGUUGUUGAGUUGGGUACAAUAACAACAGUUAAAGGUCAUUUGGCAUGGUACAUGGAUUGGAAAGAUUUAGAGUGAAAUGGGCCAAACAUGCAGAAAUGGGCACAAACAUUAGAUGGGCAUUUUGACUGGCAUGGACGAGUUGGGCUGAAGGGCCUGUUUCCUUGCUGUACAACUCUUCAAAUGCAGCAGGUUCAGCAGAGUUGCUGGUCUAUUAUUUUAAAUUGUCGCACAAUUUAUUUAUUUAGCCCAAAGGAAAAAUGAAUGAA